This 19-nucleotide small nuclear RNA is filed under the name Arabidopsis thaliana (thale cress). RNAcentral describes it as "snRNA_05067". Lineage: Eukaryota; Viridiplantae; Streptophyta; Magnoliopsida; Brassicales; Brassicaceae. The record is from RNAcentral.
CCGGGCGGAGCGGCCGUCG